Molecule: ribosomal RNA, 253 nt
Filed under: uncultured bacterium
Lineage: Bacteria
Description: partial 16S ribosomal RNA
Rfam family: Bacterial small subunit ribosomal RNA
Source: RNAcentral
GACAGAGGGUGCAAACGUUGUUCGGAAUUACUGGGCAUAAAGCGCACGUAGGUGGUCCGCUAAGUCGCGUGUGAAAUCCCCCGGCUCAACCGGGGAAUUGCGGGCGAUACUGGCGGGCUAGAGAUCGGGAGGGGUGAGUGGAACUCCAGGUGGAGCGGUGAAAUGCGUAGAUAUCUGGAGGAACACCGGUGGCGAAAGCGACUCACUGGCCCGACACUGACACUGAGGUGCGAAAGCUAGGGUAGCAAACGGG